GUAAUUUCAAUACCAAUAUAAACUUUUUGUUCCGGUUCGAGAUCUCUCCUCCUAAAUUUUUGUUUGAUUUCUUCAAUCAAAAGCUCUCUACGACAAACUGCAAAUUCUUCUCCAGAAUCUGCGGCGGAUUCCCUUAUCGGGUAUUCGAUUCCAAAUGUGCAGUAGCUUCUCUUCCUUCUAUUGCUUCAGAUUAUUGUUUUUUCCGUUAAUCAUUAGAAUGUACUUGUGCUUAAUGUUGAUAAUGAUUGUGAUUAUAAUCACUAGUAUACUUGUGUCACAUAUGGAACAAAUUUAGUUAUUUUUUGCUGUAAAUUGGUAGUAUACUAAAAACUCUAAGAUUUUUAAGUGUUGAAAAUUUCAAUAAUCCUAAGUCCCACUGUAUAAUGGCUAAGUUGAGAGAAAAAGUAUGUGCAUUCUUUCUUUAGUUGGAGUUUUGGCAUACAUAUAAACACAUUGAAGCUAAGAUUUUUGCCUAUCAAUAGAAGAAUCUAUAAGUUUGAAGAAAUAAAGUAGUAAUCCUUGUUUUUCUUUACAUGUAUGUAGCGAGACUCCUUCAUGACUCAACAAUUGUUAUAACUAUCUUCUUCUCUGUCUCUACCCACCUCAAGCUCCCUGUUAUCUCGGUGAGCACUUAACAUUUGAAGACGCUGAAUACGUUGUGGAAUUGUUCCAUCAAAUCUCAUGCUCUGAGGAUCUUCAGAAUAAGCUACAUAGUAAGCCAAUACACAUGCCUGUAGCCACGCCAAACCUACCCUUCCCUGAAAACACUCAAAACCAGGUACACAACAUAAACCACUUUGUCUUAAAGUCUUCUUCUUAGUUUUAUAAAAUUAGCUAUCUUACCACAAAAUAUCCAAUUAUGAAAGCAUAGAGAGUCACUUCCAGGGCAUAGUCCUUGUGUAUUAACAACAUCCAUAUCCCAGCAGUUAAUGAAGAGACAGCUCCAACAGAAACAGCACUGAGAAAACAGAAGGAGCUAGUGAGAUCCGAGUCAAUCAGUUUCUCCAACCCUGUUGUGCUUCUGAACUUCUUCCAGGUAUCACUCGAAGCCUCCAUGAAUCCUUUAUCAUAGGUUCCAACAUGUACAAAGCCCCAUCUGUUUCCAAGUGUAAUGAGUUUGUUAGCAAUGGUAGAGAAGCAAUCAGCACCUGAAUACAUGACCUCAUCGCUGCUCCCUGACAUUAGAUUAACACUUCUUAUUGAUCCUCUUAUGAAUACGAUGAUUGGAACAAGCGUCGAGCCAACGCAGAUGCUCCCAGUCAAGUGUUUCAUAGUGAUGCGGAAAGCAUUCCAAGCGUCCAUAUCUUCUCCAUGUGCAAAGUUUACAUAUCUCGCCCGUGAAAUCGCAACUUGUUGAACAUUCUUGAUAACUUGCAUCGUCCAUGCUAAGCUUAUUAUGAUUACGGAUAUGAACAAGAUAUCAAGAUUUGUUCUAGUGGAAGUUGCUCCUCCAAUUCCAGUCACCAAGAAACCAGAGUAAACGACACUGACUAUGAUUGAUAAGCAGACUACUUCUCUGGUUCUUGCAGGUGGAAAUGCUGUGGCAAGUGAUAAUAUUUUAUCGGUGUACUCAAGCCUCGGAGUAAUCCAGCAACCAUAGAGGGACUGAGUAAUGGCGAAAAGGACAAACACUGCACCUAUACCUGCAUCUACCGCUGAGCCAAUCAAAACAAGCAAGAUUCCUACCGAGCAGGUGAGUAUUGGACUAAGCCAGAACGUUGCUUUGACUGCUCUUGAUGGAUUGUAGAUAAAGAUGCAUUGCCAUGCUAAAGAUGCAAUUCCUGAGACAGCAACAGAUGCUAGUAAAGGAGGGUACCAUUUCUUGAGGUGGAAAUGGUGUGUACUUGCUGAGAUGAGACCGCGAAUGGUGAGAACGAUCACCAAAAGUGAGAUUAAGGUUAGUUGUGAGAAGAGAAGACCCUUGAAAAGAGUUCUAAAGAGUUUUCCUGCUAUGGUUUGUUGUGUUGUUGGAGGUGGUCUACCUUGUUGUUCCUGCAAAAAAAAAAAAAAAAAAAAAAAUGGUGUCUCAUCAACAGGUUAUUCAAAGCUGGUUAAUGUGAAUUCGUUAUGAACAUGCAAGUAAAAAGCACCAUGAAGAAAACAAGAAGAGACAAAAGAGAAGCUGGGUCUUGGUUUUGUUCUUGAGUCAAGAAAUAGUGAUGGAAGUCAACGAGAGAGGAUCAAAACAGAUAGCAUAAAGUAGAAAGCAAAACAGAACCCAGAGAGAGAGAAGAUACAGAGAUCAAGGUGUUUCCUGAUUCUUGAUUCAAAAGAGAGAAAUACCUUGAAGGCGAUUGGAGAAGAAGAAGGAGGAAGAGGAGACAUUAUUCUUGGUUCUUGAAUCUGCACGCGAGAGGCAUGACCGUUGCUUGUUGGUGUAGGCAUAGAUGCGUUGUAUUUGCCAGGAGUGUUCCUUGAAUCCCAAGUUCCACUUAACCAUCUUCAUCAAUCAUCAUUCUUCUGUUGUAUAUAUAUAUGUAUAUAUACAUACAUCUUUGUCAAUAAGUUCUAUCAUUUUGUUGAUGUUUUAUUAAAUGCAUUUCGAAUAUUUAUUAUACAUACUUUAUUCCAUUACUUUGACU
Molecule: long non-coding RNA, 2582 nt
Organism: Arabidopsis thaliana (thale cress)
Lineage: Eukaryota; Viridiplantae; Streptophyta; Magnoliopsida; Brassicales; Brassicaceae
Product: other RNA
Exons: 1
Source: RefSeq